Molecule: long non-coding RNA, 364 nt
Organism: Zalophus californianus (California sea lion)
Lineage: Eukaryota; Metazoa; Chordata; Mammalia; Carnivora; Otariidae
Exons: 3
Source: RefSeq, a predicted model, not a curated record
AGCAGGGAGAACCCUUUCUCCCUCCUGCCUGGAGAGUGUAGUAGCUAACUCAAUUAUCUCUCUGCGGGGCUGCAGGGGGGCACUUGAGCCAAGGAGCAGGAAGGCCAAGUCACUGCAAACAAGGAAGUGUGGGAACUAGUGCUCUCUAGAGCCUCUCUUGUCAGUGAUCACCAAGGCCAGGCUGUGGCUGUGGGAGUGGCUACUGAAGUGACCAGAAGAUGGUGGUUAAGAACCUGGAAUCCGGGGACAAAGAAUCCCAAAUCCGGAAUGCAGGAUUCAGGCCAGAGAGAGUGCGGCCCCGAGCCACCUUUCAUGAAGUAUCCGCGGUGGACAGGCAUGCAGACCACGCUCUCCCUUUGAAAAC